Molecule: ribosomal RNA, 372 nt
Filed under: uncultured organism
Description: bacterial SSU rRNA
Rfam family: Bacterial small subunit ribosomal RNA
Source: RNAcentral
CGUAGGUGGCAAGCGUUGUCCGGAAUUAUUGGGCGUAAAGCGCGCGCAGGCGGUCCUUUAAGUCUGAUGUGAAAGCCCACGGCUCAACCGUGGAGGGUCAUUGGAAACUGGGGGACUUGAGUACGGAAGAGAAGAGUGGAAUUCCACGUGUAGCGGUGAAAUGCGUAGAGAUGUGGAGGAACACCAGUGGCGAAGGCGACUCUUUGGUCUGUAACUGACGCUGAGGCGCGAAAGCGUGGGGAGCAAACAGGAUUAGAUACCCUGGUAGUCCACGCUGUAAACGAUGAGUGCUAAGUGUUAGAGGGUUUCCGCCCUUUAGUGCUGCAGCUAACGCAUUAAGCACUCCGCCUGGGGAGUACGGCCGCAAGGCUG